UCUUUUGGGAGCUUGCUCCCGGCUGAUCUAGUGGCGGACGGGUGAGUAACACGUGAGCAACCUGCCAAAAAGUGGGGGAUAACGUCUGGAAACGGACGGUAAUACCGCAUAUAAUGCCGAAGGGGCCUCCCUUUGGUAUGAAAGGAGCAAUCCGCUUUUUGAUGGGCUCGCGCCCGAUUAGGUAGUUGGUAGGGUAAUGGCCUACCAAGCCGACGAUCGGUAGCCGGACUGAGAGGUUGAACGGCCACAUUGGGACUGAGACACGGCCCAGACUCCUACGGGAGGCAGCAGUGGGGGAUAUUGCACAAUGGGGGAAACCCUGAUGCAGCGACGCCGCGUGAGUGAAGACGGUCUUCGGAUUGUAAAGCUCUGUCUUCAGGGACGAUAAUGACGGUACCUGAGGAGGAAGCCACGGCUAACUACGUGCCAGCAGCCGCGGUAAUACGUAGGUGGCAAGCGUUAUCCGGAAUUACUGGGUGUAAAGGGAGCGCAGGCGGGGCUCCAAGUUGGAUGUGAAAUGCCGCGGCUUAACCGCGGAGCUGCAUCCAAAACUGGGACUCUUGAGUGAAGUAGAGGUAGGCGGAAUUCCUAGUGUAGCGGUGAAAUGCGUAGAUAU
Molecule: ribosomal RNA, 616 nt
Filed under: uncultured bacterium
Lineage: Bacteria
Description: bacterial SSU rRNA
Rfam family: Bacterial small subunit ribosomal RNA
Source: RNAcentral